ACCCUGUGGAAGUAAUCUCAAGGUCCAGAAUGGCGGUGAAUACUAGGAACACAAUUGGUGUCGUUCUCCUCCUGGUCGUGAUGGUAGCAGCGGUAUCAACACCAGUGGCAACUGCCGAAGAGUUCUGUUGGGACAAAUGUAUCAAGCGCUGCAAGGGAGAACUAGAGGUUUGUAGCCCAAAGUGCAUUCAUUUUUGCAACUAUCAAUCCGGAGCCGUAGGAAUGAUCAAAAUACGUAUGUACGGGGGGUGGAUUCCUCUCUAAUACCAGUUGCUUGAAAAUUUUGUUUCACUGUCAGAUCAAUAGGUCUCUUCCGCUUUGUGGCGUAACUUGUGGCUGAAGUUCAGUUAGCCAAAUGAACUUACAGAACUGUCUCAUGUUAGUGAACCUUCUCUCCGCGAAAGAAUAUGAUAGUAUAUAGCUAUAUGCUUCAAGUGUUUCGAUUUUUAUAUUACCGCAACUCCGGCCUAUUGGGUUAUUUUCACCAGCCAACAAUAUGCUUCUUUAAUCUCUGUUACGAGGCACUAUAAGACUGCAUGCCUAUACCCGACACGUUUUUUAAGGGCAUAAGCAAAAUGUAUUGUAUAUUUAACUUAUUUCCUCUUAGAGGUGUUACCCAAGGGAUUUUGUUUCAAAUUUGAUCUAAAUCUUCAAAUGUUUCCUAAUCCUAAUGAAAAAUCGUCAAUUUCACACAAUUCAUCUAUAACUUUGAAAACUUGUUUUUCUUUAGGCCGCAGUGCCGUCACCCCCUAGUUCUCGCUACGACUUCACCAAAUCGCAUGUUGCCGCUAUGUCUCCCCUUUGGGUCGUAUUGGCGUGAGGCGCGCUCCCCACGGCCCACAAGCCACCGCUACAACGCCCCUCCGGGAUAUAGUGCUGGGACACGCGGUUCUCGCUGCCACACGAGGUCUUUCUGCCAUGGCCCCGACCUGCUCGCUGCCCCGAGGUCUUCCCCCCGUCACCCCAACCCAUGCGUUUCCGCCUCGGGAUGUAGUGCCGCAAUGCACGGUCCACUCCGCAGUGCCCUGCUCAUUGACUUCAUGUGGUAUGCGCCUGUCAGAUUUCGGGCUCCGCAAUACACUAAGGAUUCGAACAUUGGGGCGUGUAUGAAGAUCUCUCCCUGCUUAGCCUUGCCUAACCCACUACUCGAUGGAAACAACAAGGACUCACUUGAUGGCGACGGUAGCAUAGAACACAACAGCUUACGGUAGCACAGAACACAACAGAUUACCCAGUUUCGGGCAGCUACGAAGCGUAAAACCCUACUCUUGCUUUUGGUGGAUUGCCUCUCGUGGAGGUGGUGGAUGAAUUGGUACAGUGCUCUCGAUCCUCCGGAGGCCAAGUGGCUAGGUGUAUUGCCCUACGGUUCGAAUGAACUCUCCCCUACCAAGUGUUCUACCCUCUCAAUUUAUAGUGGAGGCCCGAGUCCUCUACUCUCGUAGCUUCGACGGGAAGGGAUCCCACUGUCGCCAAUUUUGAAGGGGAACACGGGAACAUGCUCCCCUUCCCAAAGGUGGUCAUCGCCUGCAAAGUAACUGUCCGUGCUGCAGGGACUGUCCCGAGGAUGACGUUUGCCCUACUGGCAUGUGGCAACGGCUUCGUUGCACCAUAAGGGAAACCUUUGGAAGAUGCCUUUGGAACCCUUGUACGCUUCUGCCUCCUUCCACUUCUGCUGCUUGCCUGUCCUUUCCUGGCGUCACCAUUGACUCCUGAGGCCCGACCUUGCCUCGGAAUAACCGCCGGUCCGGAGGGGUCCUGAGGAGGCCCCUGCAGGUCUUGACGCCGCUCCUCCUUGUUAGGCUUGGCUCCUCACGAGGGCCCUACCCUGAAUGGUGCCGAGCCUUUUGGUUUAUUCCGAUGAGGUGGGCCCUCCUUUGGCAACAGGCAGGCACGUCUGGGUACCCCCAUUCCAAAACGCCGGUAGUAGCCCCUGGGACCGCGGAGUGCUCGGGUUGGCUUCGGGGCGGAGCCUAGGGGGGCAGCAUGAGGCGAGGACAACACAUGUCACGCGGCUUGUGUCGGGUCCUCCAUGUUCCGUGUCUCUGCCCCCCUUAUUAGGUGCCUUGAUUGUAGCUUCGGUGCCUCAUUGCUUUCCUUCUUCAGUACUCACCCUUCCUCUUUGGUCUCUAACACCAACCGACACAUCCCAGAUCCAACGCCGCAUACUUCCUUGCCAGUUCAACAAUGGCGCCCGCCAGCAAGCAAAAACCAAACGGGCAUGGUCUGGCCCCGGCUUCUCUGCUCCUGGACUGCGCCUUCUCCAAGGACACGAAUCUCGUCCUCGUGCUUCCAUGGACCACGACCGAGUCCAGCGAGCAUGGGCGAACCCUGAUCUGGCCUGGCGCCAUAGAGGAGCGACCGGCGUCCUGAGCAAUAUACCCCUUCUUCCUUCACGGUAUUUACGCUGGGCUGGUGCCGCUUUUCUCCCGGUUCUAAACCGUUGUCUUGGACCACUAUGGGAUCCAAGCCCUUCAUCUCCAGCACAACUCCAUCUUGCUUCUGUCUGUCUUUGAUUUCUACUAUGAGGCUUUCGUUAGUGUGCAGCCUUCGGUUGCCCUCCUCCGCCACUUCUUCAGCUUGCGCCUGCACGACGGCACUCAUUUGUCGGCAUGUGUCUCCUUUGUGGUGGCUUAGAGUGGCAACGUGCUCUUGAAGGUCUGGAAGAAGGUGGAUAACUUCCGGCACCGCUGGGUCCUUAUGUGCCUUAACGAUGCCAACCCUCGGUUGGAGGAGCCGAAGGAGUUGCCGGAGAAGACCUCCGCGUGGAGCUCGGUGAAGCUCUCCGUCCCUCGGUUUGUGCCCGUGCUGGAGCGCUUUUCCCGCAACAUCAGCGCCAAGAGGCUGGCCGGAGGAAUGAUAGUGAAGGAGUUACUAGCGCAACGCCUGGCGCCUCUCGGAGCACACUCCAGGCCCCUGUGGGAGUAUCAGGCUGGCGACGACGAGCUCCGGCUCCGGUCACGGAACCUCCCCAUACAGGACCUGAGUAGGUUCAUGGCGAUCUUGCUGGGCGGCGACCCUGGCGACCUUCCCGAGGCCGUGGGUCCAUUAUACCAUCGUGACGACCGGGAUGACCUGGUCGCUGUGAUGCGUGUCUUCAACGAAUGGGGGCCUCCUGGCACCUGGCCAGUGACUCCAGGGGGCCCGCUUCGACCCAGCUUGCAAUGCGGUCCGCGUGCGUGCUUGCUUCCCGGAAGCUCAGGGCUGAGCCAUCCUUGGCGCACCACACCUCUGUCGGUGGGGGGGGCGUCCAUGGAGCCGAGCUCGCCUCCCUCUUUGGGGGUCCCUGUCACCUCUGCUAUUGCCAAUGCAAAGAGGAAGAAGAGAUGGUGCCAUGUUGAAGAGUAAGCUACUUGCCUAGGCACGCCCUGCGCAUCUAUUGUCCGCGCUUGGCUGAUCCCCCCUUUAUUUGUCGUGCACGGAUGUUGUCUCGCUGGUGGCAAAGAGGAACAAGACGGUCAUCAAGCCAAAGGCGACUCCCGAUGCCCCGCCUACUCUCAUUAGCGCACCGCCAUCUACAGGUGGGGAAGGGGAUGCUCGUGGGGCCGUCUCCCCUGGCCUUGGUCGCCCCCCGAGCCCCCAAAGCAUCCAGAAGCGACCGUGGGGACGCCGUUGCAUGGGGGGCAGGCCGAAGAGGGCCCUCAGGCUCCUCAGGCUCCUCAGGCUCCUCAAGCCUGAGCAUGAAGGAGGCGCACUUGAAAAAGAAGGAGAAGGAGGCCGCCUCAAGGAAGGCCCUCCUUGACGCCCAGGAGAAAGCUCUCGCCGCGGUUGAGGAGAGGAAAAUCGCGGAGCUGGCCUGCUUCCCUGACGUUGAGCUCAGGCUUCGCACGGCGCUCCGCUCCCUCUGCCGGGACGAGUUCGAUGAACCUCUAGCCACCCCAGAGGAUGGCUUUGCCACGCUCGCGAAGGGGCUCGUAACGGCCCAGGAGAUUGCCAUCGUGAAGGUGGACAAGAUCUUGGACAUCAAGUGUCGUGACCUCUUCUUCGUGGCUGCGACUCGCGUUUUCAGCCACCUUCAUCUUCGCGACCCCAGAUUCGAUCUAAGCUUCAUGAUCGUGCGGAGGCGGUGAAGGGCCCUGUGGAGGCGUUGGUCAGGAGGUUCGCUCGUGUCGCAGCUCCUUUGUCUCCACGUGCUGCUGGAGCCGAUGAUGGGGAAGACGAUGCCUCUGACAUCGACAACCAGCCCCCCGUGGAGGGGGCGACCGGCGGCGGCUCCUCCUGAUUUCUUGUCCUUGUUACUUUCCUGCAAUGCACAUCAUUCCUCGCGGAGGCAUUCAACUUAUUUGCGUUUUUAUGAACUUGGUCACGGUUUGUAAUAAUUGAAUGCUUGAAUGUUUUCCACGCCUUGUCUCACACCCUGUUUUUACUACCACUUCUCAGUAAUGCAAAAAUCUGAGCUUGUUAAUACUUUUUCAAAACAAAUGAUGUGAGUGCCAUGAUUGUCAUUGUAUGCUUGUGAGUUUGAUCAUGUGAUGAAAACCCCCAUUUCACAAUACUGAUAUAUUUUCGAAAACCUUUACAUGUUUCUGAUUAAGGUAAAACCCUACUUUGAGUUGCACUACACGUCCUUUAUGGCAAGAAGUGUUUCUACCCAAAGUUGGCGAUCUGAUUUAACUUCAUUUUAGUGCCUUAAAACCACAAAAUAAUUAUUUUUAGAAUUAGUUUCCUAAUUAAAUUGAUGUCCAUUUCAGAGGCCACAAUUGGUAUUCCUACAUGGAAAAAUACUUUUCUGCCUUAGAAAAAUCUUCUUAAAUUUGGAGAUGAUGAGAAGGACAUAUAUUUUCCAUACAUAAGAUUUUAAACCCUAUUUUACAUUAUAAUUAUUUGAAUAAAAACCUGGAAGCCAUUUCUGUCUGUUUUGAGCUUCUGAAAUAUUUCCAAAUAAAAUGUUCUCAAUAAACUCCUAGAAAAUUCCAGUAGUAUCCCUAAGCCAUAUUUGGUGUCCAAAUAAAGUUUCACCUUGGUCCAAGGUGACUAAGGACCCCAAAUAACCCCAAAACCCCUUCUGUCCAGAUUGAAGUUAGAGCAACUCUACAUAGCAAAGUUUAUCCAAUGAUGCUGAAACAUUGCAGGAGUGCCUAAUACCUCAAAUGAGGGUUCCACACCAAAAAUGGGAUUUGUGGGAUUUAGUUUGCCCACAAUCUCUUUGGAAGGGACAUAUCUGGUCACACUGAAGUGUUUUCAAGUUUACAAAGCUAAACUUGUCUAAUGAAGCUCAAAGUUGGUGAAACCCCAUGUUUUAGCACCAAACCCAAACCUGUUAAGUUGCAGCACCAGUGGUGGGGUGCAACCCCCUCAAACCACUGUCGAGCGCCUUCUGACAAAUAGGGAAAAGCCACCUUAGCCACAACUAAACCCAACCCCUUUGCUCCAAACUCAUAGAUUAGGUGGCCAGUAUCCAUAUCUAACCCCAGUCAACUAGCCCCUCACAGGUUCAAAGUGGAAAGGCCAAGAACUCCAAUUUAGGCUUCAGCUCAAGCCUGACAGCACUAGCAUUUCUUGUCUCCUUUGACCAGCCAAAGCUCCCACGAGACCCAAACGGCUAGCCACACUCCCAUCCAGUGUCAGGACAUGCUAUACACGUCCAAAGUGCCUCAGAGCACACCAGCAUUUUGUGGCAUGCCAAAAAUAUGUUCUCAGCGCGCUAUAGGUAGCCACCGAGGUGGUAGCGACGCUCUCGGCCAGUUCUAGCCUCCCACGAGGUGUCCAACCUCUUCCCAGACACCCUCUUCAUCGAGCAACCAUCAAGGCCCCUCCUCCCAUGCAUUAGAGCUCGUGCGACGCGUGCCCGCGGCACCAGAACCGGCCAAGGUUGUGCGGCCACGGAUGCUCGACUCUUUCCUCUCUCCCUCUGUAGCAGAUGGUUAUGGCAGUCCAAAACCAUGUCCUGAGACCGUUGUUUCAACCCCAGCCCCUCUCCGCACCCCCAUGCGCACCACUGUGAGUCACCGACGCUCCCGAAUCGGCUCACCGUCGCGGGCCUAUAAAUAGCCCUCCCCCUCUCUCCUACACCCCUCAGAUAGCCUCACCACGACCACUAGCACCUCCCUAUACACCCGAGCAAACCAACAGAGCCCCGGUGCUCGAAAUUGACCGAGGCCCCUCCGCCUUGGGAUCCGAUUGAUCUCCAGCUACACGAUGGCUCCUGCGCCCCUCGACCCACCAAACUGAUCCCCUCAACCCCAGGAAGCUUUCCCCCAACUCGCCCGACCAUUUUCGUGUCUCUAGCCACCUCCUCGACUACCUCCCGAAACUCCUCCGUGACGGCCUCCUCGCCGCUGGUGAACCCCUGCCUCUCCGACGUUGUUCCGACCACCAGCAGGUAGGCGACAUCAUGGCGAACCCAUUCCAGUCCUUGUUGGGGCCUGAGAGCAUCGGCAGCCUCGCCGACAUGCUCCUCCUCCUCUCUGCCAGAGGUAGGAGGCGACCCCGACAGGUGUGCCCCACCUGUCGGUGGCCCAGCCUCCUCCCCAGCACUGUCCACAGCCACUGACCGCAGGGCCCUGCACGUUAAGUUCAAACCUGACUGCGCGCGCACCUGGGCACACUGUCGGCUGGCCUUGGGCCAGCCCAGCUCCAGGCCGAGCCAGGCCAGGGGCUUGGCCCAUUUUUCUUUUUUAAAAAAAAUCUGAUUUCAAAGGUUCUUAUAAAAAUAUUUAGCCAGUGUAAAAUAUAAUUUUUCCACUGUUAUUCUUCUAAAAAUAUGUAGUAUUUAAUAAUAUGAUUGGAUGAAUUUUUCUACAACUAUUCUGUUUUAUAAUAAUAAAAAGGACUAAAUUGGAAUAGUUUUGAUUCUAUUUGGUUAAUUUUAAAAAUGUUCCUUCAAGAGAAUUCAAGGCAAAUAUUUUUCUAAAUGACAACUUAGAUUUAUCAGUAAUAAAGAACAUUUUUUAAAAUGACUUUCUGAUACGUUUCUGUGUGAGAUAUUUCUUAUUUAUUGUUUUAUCGACGAUAGAAAAUCCGUGUGACGAGGGAAUCGGAGCGGAAGACCUCGAAGACACCGGAUACCUAGCUGAC
RNAcentral lists this long non-coding RNA (7013 nucleotides) under Hordeum vulgare. Its description in RNAcentral is "long non-coding RNA (HVUL_LNC011883)". Lineage: Eukaryota; Viridiplantae; Streptophyta; Magnoliopsida; Poales; Poaceae. The record is from RNAcentral.